This 429-nucleotide ribosomal RNA is filed under the name Verrucomicrobiota bacterium. RNAcentral's name for it is "Verrucomicrobia bacterium partial 16S ribosomal RNA". It matches the Rfam family "Bacterial small subunit ribosomal RNA", at positions 355 to 776 of the family's 1533-position model. The record is from RNAcentral. Lineage: Bacteria; Pseudomonadati; Verrucomicrobiota.
UAGGGAAUCUUCCGCAAUGGACGAAAGUCUGACGGAGCAACGCCGCGUGAGUGAAGAAGGAUUUCGGUUCGUAAAACUCUGUUGUUAGGGAAGAAAAAAUGUAUAGUAACUAUAUACAAAAGAGACGGUACCUAACCAGAAAGCCACGGCUAACUACGUGCCAGCAGCCGCGGUAAUACGUAGGUGGCAAGCGUUGUCCGGAAUUAUUGGGCGUAAAGCGCGCGCAGGUGGUUUAGAAAGUCUGAUGUGAAAGCCCACGGCUCAACCGUGGAGGGUCAUUGGAAACUAAUAAACUUGAGUGCAGGAGAGAAAAGUGGAAUUCCUAGUGUAGCGGUGAAAUGCGUAGAGAUUAGGAGGAACACCGGUGGCGAAAGCGGCUUUUUGGCCUGCAACUGACACUGAGGCGCGAAAGCGUGGAGAGCAAACAGG